RNAcentral lists this ribosomal RNA (78 nucleotides) under Cyanoptyche gloeocystis. RNAcentral's name for it is "partial LSU ribosomal RNA". It matches the Rfam family "Eukaryotic large subunit ribosomal RNA", at positions 1 to 78 of the family's 3401-position model. The record is from RNAcentral. Lineage: Eukaryota; Glaucocystophyceae.
UGAUCUCGAAUCAGACAAGAUUACCCGCUGAGCUUAAGCAUAUUAAUAAGCGGAGGACAAGGAACUAACAAGGAUUCC